UACGUAGGGUGCAAGCGUUGUCCGGAAUUAUUGGGCGUAAAGAGCUCGUAGGCGGUUUGUCGCGUCUGCUGUGGAAAACCCGAGGCUCAACCUCGGGCCUGCAGUGGGUACGGGCAGACUAGAGUGCGGUAGGGGAGAUUGGAAUUCCUGGUGUAGCGGUGGAAUGCGCAGAUAGUCAAGGAGGAACACCAAUGGCGAAGGCAGAUCUCUGGGCCGUAACUGACGCUGAGGAGCGAAAGCAUGGGGAGCGAACAGG
This 256-nucleotide ribosomal RNA is filed under the name uncultured bacterium. RNAcentral describes it as "partial 16S ribosomal RNA". It matches the Rfam family "Bacterial small subunit ribosomal RNA", at positions 524 to 776 of the family's 1533-position model. The record is from RNAcentral.